RNAcentral lists this ribosomal RNA (268 nucleotides) under uncultured bacterium. RNAcentral's name for it is "partial 16S ribosomal RNA". It matches the Rfam family "Bacterial small subunit ribosomal RNA", at positions 336 to 621 of the family's 1533-position model. The record is from RNAcentral.
UUCCUACGGGGCGCAGCAGUGGGGAAUAUUGCACAAUGGGGGAAACCCUGAUGCAGCGACGCCGCGUGAGCGAAGAAGUAUCUCGGUAUGUAAAGCUCUAUCAGCAGGGAAGAAAAUGACGGUACCUGACUAAGAAGCCCCGGCUAACUACGUGCCAGCAGCCGCGGUAAUACGUAGGGGGCAAGCGUUAUCCGGAUUUACUGGGUGUAAAGGGAGCGCAGGCGGCGCGGUAAGUCUGAUGUGAAAGCCCGGGGCUCAACCCCGGGAC